This 375-nucleotide ribosomal RNA is filed under the name uncultured bacterium. Its description in RNAcentral is "bacterial SSU rRNA". It matches the Rfam family "Bacterial small subunit ribosomal RNA", at positions 29 to 430 of the family's 1533-position model. The record is from RNAcentral.
AACGAACGCUGGCGGCAUGCCUAACACAUGCAAGUCGAACGGGACCUUCGGGUCUAGUGGCGCACGGGUGCGUAACGCGUGGGGAUCUGCCCUUAGGUACGGAAUAACUCAGGGAAACUUGAGCUAAUACCGUAUAAUGACUUCGGUCCAAAGAUUUAUCGCCUAGGGAUGAACCCCGCGUAGGAUUAGCUUGUUGGUGAGGUAAAGGCUCACCAAGGCGACGAUCCUUAGCUGGUCUGAGAGGAUGAUCAGCCACACUGGGACUGAGACACGGCCCAGACUCCUACGGGAGGCAGCAGUGGGGAAUAUUGGACAAUGGGCGAAAGCCUGAUCCAGCAAUGCCGCGUGAGUGAUGAAGGCCUUAGGGUUGUAAAG